This 429-nucleotide ribosomal RNA is filed under the name Pseudomonadota bacterium. RNAcentral's name for it is "Proteobacteria bacterium partial 16S ribosomal RNA". It matches the Rfam family "Bacterial small subunit ribosomal RNA", at positions 355 to 776 of the family's 1533-position model. Lineage: Bacteria; Pseudomonadati; Pseudomonadota. The record is from RNAcentral.
UUGGGAAUAUUGGACAAUGGGCGAAAGCCUGAUCCAGCCAUGCCGCGUGUGUGAAGAAGGUCUUCGGAUUGUAAAGCACUUUAAGUUGGGAGGAAGGGCAGUAAGCGAAUACCUUGCUGUUUUGACGUUACCGACAGAAUAAGCACCGGCUAACUCUGUGCCAGCAGCCGCGGUAAUACAGAGGGUGCAAGCGUUAAUCGGAAUUACUGGGCGUAAAGCGCGCGUAGGUGGUUCGUUAAGUUGAAUGUGAAAGCCCCGGGCUCAACCUGGGAACUGCAUCCAAAACUGGCGAGCUAGAGUAGGGCAGAGGGUGGUGGAAUUUCCUGUGUAGCGGUGAAAUGCGUAGAUAUAGGAAGGAACACCAGUGGCGAAGGCGACCACCUGGGCUCAUACUGACACUGAGGUGCGAAAGCGUGGGGAGCAAACAGG